Solanum pennellii is the source of this 6918-nucleotide RNA transcript. RefSeq lists it as uncharacterized. NCBI's taxonomy places the organism in Eukaryota, Viridiplantae, Streptophyta, Magnoliopsida, Solanales, Solanaceae. The transcript is spliced from 7 exons. The record is from RefSeq and is a predicted model, not a curated record.
GAACCAAUUUCUGCUAAAGCAUUAAGCGAGGAGUUAAAACACAAAACAUCACCCUAGAGAAAAUAGAGGGCAGCUUUCGAUCUCUCUCAGCGGACUCUCCUAUGGGUAAGCCUCUGAGUUCAACUCUCCGACGGUGAAAUCCCAACAUUGACAUAAAGUUUGAAACUCGGUAGAUAAGGAUCUGGCCGUUUUUCUGGAGUGGCGAGAGCUCUAUCGUAGAUAGGGUUAGCAGUUUGCCUUGUGAUCUUCUUGAGAAGAUAUUAGGAUGCUUGCUUUUGAAUUAUCCGAAAAUGGAGGUAUAAGUGGGUAAUACUUUCCGAACUAGUGUUUGAUGAGAACGUUGGCAAAGGACGACUCCUGAAAACUAGAAUGGAAUUUUUGAAGCAUGUAUUGUCAUUGCAACUGCAUUUGAGAAAAUUGGUGUUGUAACGAUAGCUGGGAAUGAAAAUGAUGGACGAGAUGAAGCAAUUCCCUCGAGCAUCACCCAAUGUAGAGUUUAUAUACCAAGAAGUUGAUAUUCAUUUUUGAAAUUUCUAGAUCGGGUGAAAAGUCUAAUGUAGUACCAUCAAGUGGUUUGAAACAGGGAUACGAAGUGGUGAAUUUCCCUGUUUAUCUACCUGUUAACCUUUAGAAUUGUGUGGAUUAGACAUAUUUCUUGAGGAUUACAACUAGUAGGCUUCGCAAACCCUUUGAAAUCAGGUGGAGGGAGGAAGCACUACAACAAAAAUAACUUUUAGCGGCAUUAAUUACUGACAUUAAUAAAGAGGGAUGAAGUCUUUACCGACAUUAGUUAAGUGCCAUUAGAACCAAUGUCGCUAAAGGCUUUAGGAACAUAUACAAAGAGUGUCAAUUGCCACUAAAAAUACAUAUUUAGCGGCAGUUGAGAAUUAAUUGCCGCUAAUGUCAUUUUUGUUGUAGUGAAGAAGCACACAUCAAGUUCCAGAUGUCUUAGUUGCUUGAAUGUAAAAAGGUAAGAAGGUAAAUAAUAUUUGUUGUCUGAGAAUAUAUGAAGGUGAAUUCCUAGACAUUUUUUUUUUAAAAAUUAUCAAAAAGACGCGUCAAAUUAGGACACCGGACCGUACACUUUAGUAUUGGUCCUUGAUGUAGUCGUAGGACUUGGUAAAUGAUUGUCUUGGUUUCUUGAUUGUCGUUGAAAGAUCUGAAAAAUUAACUGCGAAAAUCAAGUUUUGCACGUAUUACUCAUUUGUACCUCUAGUCUUUUGAUAAGAUAUUGGUCUUCACUGUAUCUUUCAAAAGACAAGCUCCCUAGAAUUUUAUCUAGGACAUUACACACGAGAAAUUGCUCAUUAUAGCACUCUUCAUGGUUUAAUAUACAAGUUUGUAAACAACUCUAAUAAUUCAAAUCUAAAAUAAAUAAAAUAUCCAAAUUCUCAUAAUUACACAUUUCAACAAUAUAGACAUAGUCUUUUAUAACUACUGGUUAACAUGUUCGAUUGCAUAGAAGUUUAUCAUUUUACCAAUAUAGAAGGGAAAAAAUAAUUAAUGAUGAAUGAGAUAAUACCUGAAAAAUGUUGGUUAGAGACAAUAAUGGUGAAAACAUGAUUUUAAUCUAGGAGAUUCAAUAAUGUGUGUGUAUAUAUAUAUAAAAGGAUAUUCCAUUUCAAGACAUAGUUUUUUUUGGCGAGGGGGACUAUGAAGUAGGAAACUAUUUCUAUUUCUAGAAAAAAGAUCUUGUAAAUAUCGAUUCUUUGCAAUUGGCAAAACCUUCAUUGGAUCAAUUAGCUCUUGCUCAUUUUAGGAACGUCAGCUAUUUCCAUUUUUGAAAAAGAUUUAUAGAAAUCUAUACUUAAAAUAUGAGGUAUCUACUCUUGCAAUUAUUUUCACCCAAAUCCAUCCUGAUUACUAUCUGUAUAAGAUCGUAAGAAAUCAUAAAUAGACCCCAAAAUUAAUUAGGAGUUCCGCCCCUACGACUUUUGUCUAGUGUAAAGUGUGUGCAUGGAUUAGACAUAUAUCUCGAGUUUAAGUUUGCAACCAAUGAAACCUACUAUUUAAGUCGAGAAGAAUAUAUGGCCAGAUUAUAUUCUUCUCAGCUUAAAUAGUAGGUUUCAUCCGUUGCAAACAAAGAUGUAUGCCUAAUCCACGCAACACACUUACGACUAGACAAAAAUCCCAGGGGCGGAACUUCCAAGAAUUUUGGAGCCUAUUUAUGCACACUUCAAUCUUUUUAUAAUCUUAUAGUAAUCUGUGGCUUUUGGUAAAAAAAAAUUCUCGAGUAGAUUUCUCAUAUGUUAAGUAUAGAUUUCUAUAAAAUCUUUUUCUAGAAAUUGAAAUAGUUGUCUGACGUUGCAAAAGAUAGAAAAUGAGGUAAUUGCUUUAGUGUAGGUUUUUUCAAUUGCAAGAAUAGAUUUCUACAUGAUCUUUUUCUUGAAAUGGAAAUAACUUCUUGGCCCCCCUCGCCAAAAAAAUUUGAUGCGUAUAUAGGUGAAAUAUCCUUAUAUAGGUGUAUAUACAUAUACAUUAUUGAAUCUACUAGAUUGAAUUCAUAAAGUCACCAUUGUUGUCUCCAAUCAACAUUUUCCUCAUACUCUCUCAUUUGUCAUUAUUUUUCCCUCCGAUAUUUGCGAAAUGAUAAACCUCCAUGCAAUUGAAAAAGUUGAACUAGCUAGUAGUUAUAUAAGACUAUGUAUACAUUGUUGAUGUGUAUUUAUGAGAAUUUGAAUGUUUCUUUUAAUCCAGAUCUGAGUUAUUAGACUACAAACUUGUGUAUAAACACGAAAAGUGCUACAAUUUGCAUAGUAAUGUCCUGGAUAAAAUUUUAAGAAGCUUGCCUUUGAAAGAUGCAGCGAAGAGCAGUAUCUUAUCAAAAGACUGGAGGAACAAAUGGGUAACACGUGCACAACUUGAUUUUCUUAGUGAGCUUUUCACUUCUUUCAACAACAAUCAAGUAGUGAAGACAGUUAUUUACGAAUCCAUCAAGGACCCAUACUAAAGUUUACCGCUCCAAGACUAUUCUUAUAUCCCCCUAAUUUGACGUGUUAUCUUGAUGUUUAUUACUGGAUGUUUAUGUCCAUCACUUCACUCUUCAAAUAUUCUCAGGCAACAAAUAUCAUUUACCUUCUUAUUUUUUUUACAUUCCACCAACUAAGAUAUCUAGAACUUGAUAUGUGCUUCUUCCGCCCUCCACCUAAUUUCAAAGAGUUAACAAACCCUGUUAGUCUAAAUCUUCAAAGUGUCAUUUUUUAUCCAACAAUAUUUAGGUUCUCACAUCCAAAUGGCCAUUGAUUGAAAGUUUCAGGUUGACUAGGUGCACCGAAUUGAUAUUCUUGAAAUUGAUGCUGCCAAUCUCAAAUGCUUCGGCUUUUUUGGAACAUCAAAGUCCAUUUGCUUAAAGAAUGCCCCGAUACUUAGAAGUGUCAUUGUGUGGCUCAACUCAGGUCAUGAGUUUUGGUGGAUCCGUCACCUUUUUGUUCUAAUCUUACAAAGUUAUUCCAUUUACAUGCCAUCCCCGGAGGAGUUGGAACUAGGCGGUUCAUCAAUAGAGAAAUAUAAUGUUGACGAGGUUUCAAGUACAGGUUACUGGUAACAUGCUGCAAUAAAUUACAAGAAGUUACAAUUGAAUGUGGAGUAGUAGACAUUGUUGUGGAACCUGUUAUACAAUUAUUACAAGCUAAAUCAUUCUCGUCUGGUGCUGUGAAGCUGCUUCAAAAUGUGGAGAUGCAUUAUUUUAUUGGUUUUGAGAUGGAAAUUGAAUUUGUGAAGUCUAUAUUGGCAGCUGCACCUGUACUGAAGGAGAUCUUUGAUGGAUGAGAUGAAACUAUUCCAUCGAGAAUCACCCUACGUUAGAUUCAAAUUUGAAGAAAUAUGUACAGGUCUGGAACUUGAUUUGUACUUAUUCAGAUAAACUUGAUUUAUUCAAUGCAAUUUCCUUUUGAGAUCCCAAUAUAACCUAUGCUUAGUUAAAACGCAUAUCUACCUAUAGCAAUUGAUGUAGAUUUGUCUUAAAUAUCCUCUUUCCCUUCAACAUCAAUCAAUGAAGUUAAUUUCUAUAUGAUCAUCAAGUAAUUGCAUUAAUCUGUCAAUGCCACUUUUUCAAAUAAGAAAGUCCUCCAACUAUUUCUUUAGCUUUUGUAAACUAUACUAGUGUAGUGAUCGGUAAAUAUCAUAAACAAAUGGCAUUUAUACUCUGUUCGGUUUUUUAACUCAUGGCGUACUAGACUUAUCUACAAUUUAUAAAAGUACGACUUUUAUGAAGCUGCUUCAAAAGGCGUGUAGGUUCCUGGUUUAUGGUGGUUUUGAGAUGCAAAUAUAAUUUCUUAAGGUUGUAUAUGUUGUCACCUGCUACUUGAUAAAAUGUGUAUUUUGAACCAUACAUUUCCCGUUGGUCUCGGUUAUGCAGAUGAUUGAUGAGAUGAAACAAUUUAUUUAUUUACGCGUGCAUCACAGAAUGUUAAAGUUCAAGUCGGAAGAACUUGGUAUAAACAUAGUGAUGGCUGUGGAAUCUUUGUAAAGGUGCUCGUCUCAAGUAGAGUAGUACUUCUUAUAAAUUUUGUAAAAUGGAGUAUUUUACUUGUUUAUAUAGUAAUGAUAUAGUCCAUGAAGCUCUUUUCGACAUUCAGGUACAAUGAAUUUCUGUUAUGCUUAUGGGAUAUGAAAUGUGAGGUACUUGCAUAGAAAAUAAUUAUAACCCUAAGCAACAAUCCAGCGCACAACGUCUGAAAAGCCGUUGUUGCUUGCUGUUUUGGAAACUCGAAAAUCUCUUUUUGGCCUCUCCUCUCUGUCUCAAUUCUGAUAGAUUAGCUUCUUCCUUUGUGCAAGGUACAAUUUGUGAGCAACACACUUUUCUAUCGAAGGCUGGGUGAAAAGUCAAAUGACUAUCAAGCGGUUUGAAACAGAGGAAAUAUAUUACAAAGUGGUGAAUUUUCCCUGGUUAUCUACCUGUUAACCUUUAGAAUGUUAUAUUCCUUCGUGAAAAAAAGCUAAUCUCAUGAUUCUAUAUUUACUACUAUAAUUUGUCUAGUGGUAAGUGUGUCGCCCCUGUUGUGUGGAUUAGACAUACAUCUUGAAAAUUAUGACUACUAGGCUUCGCAAACCCUUUGAAAUCAGGUGGAGGGUGGAAGAAGCACAUAUCAAGUUCCAGAUGUCUUAGUUGCUACAAUGUAAAAAGAUAAGAAGGUAAAUGAUAUUUAUUGUCUUAGAAUAUUUGAAGGGUGAAUUUCUAGACAUUUUUUUGACAAGAAGAGCAUUUAGUAAUAAAUAUCAGGAAGACAUGUCGAAUUAGGACAUUGGACUGUAAACUUUUGUAUUGGUCCUUGAUUUAGUCGUAGUACUUUGAAAAUGAUUGCCUUGGCUUCUUGAUUGUCGUUGAAAGAUGUGAAAACUAACUACGAAAAUCAAGUUCUGCAUGUGUUACCCGUUUGUACCUCUAGUCUUUUGACAAGAUGCUGGUCUUCAAUGUAUCUUUCAAAAGACAAGCUCCCUAGAAUUUUAUCCCGGACAUUACACGACAAAUUGCUAAUUGUAGCUCUUUUCAUUGUUUAAUACACAAGUUUGUACGCAACUCUAGUAAUUCAAAAUCUGAUAUAAAGACAAUAUCCAAAUUCUCAUAAGAGUGCUAUAAUUUGCAUAAAAAUGUCCUGGAUAAAAUUUCAAGGAGCUUGCCUUUGAAAGAUGCAGUAAAGACCAGUAUCUUGUCAAAUGAAUGGAGAAACAAAUGGGUAACAUGUGCACAACUUGAUUUUUUUAGUGAGUUUUUCACUUCAUUCAACAACAAUCAAGUAGUCAAGACACUCAUUUACCAAGAAUUCAUCAAGGACCAAUAUGAAAGUUUACCGCUCCAAGAUUAUCCUAAUAUCCCCCUAUUUGACGUGUUAUCUUGAUAUUUAUUACUGGAUGUUUUUCUUGUCAAAGAAAAAUGUCUAGGACUUUGUCUUCAAAUAUUCUCAGGCAACAAAUAUCAUUUACCUUCUUAUAUUUUUACAUUCCACCAACUAAGACAUCUAGAACUUGAUAUAUACUUCUUCCACCCUCCACUUGAUUUUAAAGGGUUAGCAAAGCCUAUUAGUCUUAAUCUUCGAAGUGUCAUUUUUGAUCCAACAAUAUUUAGGUUCUCACAUCCAAAUGCCCAUUGCUUGAAAGUUUGAGGUUGACUAGGGGCACCGAAUUUGAUAUUCUUGAAAUUGAUGCCGCCAAUCUCAAAUGUCUGACUUUCUUGGAACAUCAAAGUCCAUUUGCUUCAAGAAUGCCCCGAUACUUAGAAGCGUCAUUGUGUGGCUCAACUCAAGUCACGAGUUUUGGAGGAUCCGUCACCUUUUUGUUCCAAUCUUACAAAGUUAUUCCAUUUACAUGCCAUCCCUGGAGGAGUGGAACUAGGCGGUUCAUCAAUAGAGUACUUGGCCAUGGGAGGUAUACCAGAGAUUCUGCCAACUGCUCUAUGCAAUGUCAAAUUUCUCUGUAUUUUGGAUGUCUUUCAGAAAUAUAAUGUUGACGAGGUUUCAAGUACAGGUUACGUGAUUACAAGCUGCGCUAAAUUACAAGAAGUUACAAUUGAAUGUGGAGUAGUAGGCAUUGCUGUGGAACCUGUUAUAUAUACAAUUAUUACGAGCUUAAUCAAUCUCGUGUGGUGCUGUAAAGCUGCUUCAAAGUGUGGAGAUGCGUUAUAUUAUUGGUUUUGAGAUGGAAAUGGAAUUUGUGAAGUUUAUAUUGGCAUGUGCACCUGUACUGAAGGAGAUCUUUGAUGGAUGAGAUGAAACAAUUCCAUUGAGAAUCACGUUAGUUUCAAAUUUGAAGAAAUAUGUACAGGUCUGGAACUUGAUUUGUGAUUAUUCAUAGAUGAACUUGAUUUGUUCGAUUCAAUUUCCUUUUGAGAUCCCGAUAUGACCUUGCUCAAUUUCAACACAUUCUUAUAGAGUUUAUAUAGUAAUGAUAGUCCUUGAAGCUCUUUUCGACAUUCAAGUACAA